ACAAUCUUUAGUCCACAUCCUCAAAGGCAGACGAUUGCAUAUCUCAACAGAACAGUGAUAACAUUUGCUCAAUUAACAAUCAUAAUCGCAUGCACACAUAACAAAGUUAUUUACAUCAGGAUUUGGGACACAAUAUCCAAUUCCAUGUUUAUACCAUUUUGCGCAAUCCAAAUGGCAGGAUUCAUUGAGGCAUUCGUAUCUGUUACUCAUCAAGAAAAUUAAACAUUUCUUCUGAGCAUCCACCUUUGGCACCAUCAUCUCAGCUUCAAAUAUGUGAAAAAAAUUACAAGUAUCAAUUAAAAACAAAAGACAAAUGUUCAAAGCAUAUAUUAAAAAAUGUAUUCGUAAAACAGAAUGCAUUUUAUUCGGAGCACUCUACUAAUUUUGCUGAAUGUUUUCUAAGCAUAGAAUUCUACUGAAUUUUGGUUGGGAACUCUUGGCAGUGAUUCAAGUUGCUGGCAUUUUUUUAUGUUUCAAAUGACAACCAUCUGAGAGCUAGCACACUUUUUGACUUUUGUGAUUGCCAAUAACAUCCCUUCAAGCAAAUUUUUUGAUGUACUGGUUAUAUAACGUUGUAUCUUUCAAGACAUUUUGUUGGUCCUCCAUUUGUAUCCAGAUACGGAAAGUUCUAGAAUAGUAUAAAAUUUCCCACUCAUAUUUAUUAGAUCUUAAACCAUAGAUUGGAGGCAUGGAUUUUAUUAUCUAACAAACAACCGAUUUGUCUUUGUAACCUGAAUUUCCCCUCAAUAUACCUAUUUGAAAUAUUGGUUUUGUCACACCCCUGCCUGCGUGGGGCUCGUGAGGCACCUAGUGCCCACAUGGAGGCCACAUGAGAGAGGAAUACGGGACUCCUCUGCCAGAUAUUAUCCGUUUCUGAGGCCCGCACGCGCGCCGCACGCACUGCUGAGACCCUUUUUCGGUUUUGUUUUCCACCCAAAAUGCGUUUGCAUUAUUUUGGAGACACCCGCCUCAUAUGCCCAGGCUCUGAAACGAGUUAUAUCCGAUGGUGGGAAGGGUGUGAGGUCCAAUAGUUCCACAUCGAAAAGACUCAUUUCAGAGUCUGGGCAUAUGAGACAGGUAUCUUCAAAUUCUGCAGCCGCAUUUUGGAUGGAAAAUAAAACUGGAAAGGGGUCUGAGCGGUGCGUGCAGCGCGCGUGCGGGCCCUAGAACCGGACAAUAUCUGGCAGGGAAGCUCCAUGUUCCCCCCUUCAUGUGGCCCCCACGUGGGCACUGGGUGCCGCACGUGCCCCGCGGAGGCAGGGGCGUGACAGGUUUACUGCUUGAAACAUAUAUAGGUUUAAUGAAAAAAUAUGGACAAGAUAUAUAAUUAUAAGAAGAGCAAAUAAAAAUUAUGGAUACUUGCACUUGGUCAACAAAUUAUCUUUAAUUACAGAGAAAAUGCUGAUAGCAAUAUAGAGUUUUAAUGGUUUUUGGAUUCCCACCUUCAUAACAUUGUAAACAUAUACAGAAGUAGAGCAGCAACUUAUUUCAUUAUAUAAUAGUCACAAGGGAUGUUAUUUAACUACAUCUAUGAAAUUUAUAAUUGAAAUAUGGUUAUCAUAUAUCUUAAUAAUAUUAUUUGAAUACAGAUGUAUCCAGGAUACUGUGAUUUCACUGUUGGAAACCGUAAUAUGUGUAUCGGAAGGCGAACAGGACGGUAGAUUGAGUUGCCUCCUUUGCUACCCAUCAUUUCGAAGAGGUCUCAUGAACAUGUGCUAAUACCCCCAUCUUUAUGUUUCUUAACUCAGUUGGUUGUACUCAUGCUAGAUUAACAUGAGUGACCGUUGUACCAAAAAAUAAAAAAUCCAUUCUUACAUUAUGAUGACCAUCACUGAUUGGGCUGCUAGUUAGUUUUGGUUGCAAUCGUGAACCAGAAAUGAAGGAAAAUGUAACUGCCACUUCGAAGAGAGGCCAUGGCUUCUCUAGACCAUGCAUACUUUUGAACAUGUUUGUAGGUUCAUAGGUUCAUUUUGGAGCAGACUAUCAACUCAUAUGCUAUGCCAUGGAAAGGUAAUAAUAUUCAAGCAUGAUGCUCACAUGGGAAGAUGGAGUUGUAUUUUUCAGUCAUCAUCUGUAAAGACUUGUGUACUGGAGGAAGAAAAUUAAAAAGGAAGUUCCAACUAGACCAAUAUUAUUUUUUCCUUUCUAUUCUUCUGCCUGAGUACUGCCCAGCAGAAGUUAGAUUAAUUAUUUUAACAUAAUAUCUAAUAUUAAAAUCGAAUUGUGGGGAAGAAUAGAACUUGUGAACUGAUUCCAAAACAAAUGUAAUGGAAAGCAAUCGAGUAAAGCUUUUGGAGAUCUCAUUUAUUUUUCCUCUUCAUAUCCAUUAGCCAUAGAUCAUGGCUAAUUGUUUCUCAAAAAAAUAUUGCUUAACUAGUUCUGUGAAAACAUCUUGUCAUUUGUCUAAAAUUGAAUUUGGUCGAUGGAAAUGGAUUAAAAGAGAUGGAAGGAGAUUAGAAAGUACCUGAUACAAAGACAAGGAGGACUAGAAGAACAUAGGAUAGCCUGGCCAUCUUCUUCUAUGACAGAUAGAAAUGCUAUGUUGUUCAAGCUUACCUCCGCUUUGGUGAUGAAAUAGAUUAUAAGACUUCAUAUUUAUAAUCACUUGAUGCAUGAUCUGUCAUAGAUUUUUUUGCCAUUUUUGGAUGAUACAUUUAGAGAAAGUGAUCUUUAAGAUUUUUUUUUUUGGGUAAACUUUUAACAUCCAUUGGUUGGAGGUAUAUAAUUUGGCAUGAGAAAAUAAAUGCCAUAUUCGAUUAUCAUAUUUAGUGCGAAAGUGCUAUCAGAUAUUGUAACAUAAAUGAUGGAUCCUCUAUAUAUUUUGAGAUAUUAUCAGAUUACCACAUAAUCUGACAUACACCAAACAAGCAAACCCUUAAGAUUUUUUUGUAUUCUCUAGGAUGUGAUAAUUUCUGGAUGGCAAAGUCAAAGAAGGAAGAAUCUUCAAGAUUUUACUUUCUAGUAAGUAAAUCAUCUAUAUUUUCGCUCUAGAUAUUCAGCAAUCCAAGGAUAUCCAGCAAGCACCUUCUUAUGUUGUCCGUUUCUUCUGGUCCUUACCUUGAUGUGCCGUUACACUUUAGAUUUAGCAUUUAUUGGCGGACAGCGUUAUCAUGAGAGGGAAAAACCAAAUAAAGCGAAUGCCUUGCACCAAAGCCAGCGAGAGAGCGAUUAAAAAAACCAAAUAAAGCGAAAGCGAAGCACCAAAGCGCUCUCGUCUUUUUCGCCACCUCCUCUUCCUCUUCCUCCUCCUCCUCUCUCUCUUUAUCUCUUUCCAAAUGGCCGCCGUGGGAGCCGGGGAGAAGCCAGGGAUACGGUUCCGCCGCGCCGCUGUGGCUGUUCCGGCGGAGGGGGCGAGGGUCUGAGCCUGUGAUGCCGGAGGGAGGCGGCGCUUCUUCUCUCCAGCUGCCGAGGUGCCGGAAAAGAGGUGUUUUGGGGUUUUCUGGUGGGGUAAAGGUUGGUUUUUGCUAGGGGUUUUUGGUAGGAGGAGAUGGCGAUGGUGGUGGCAGGGCAGGGAGUGGGGAAGGAGGCGGGGAAGAUGCAGCAAGGAAUGGAAGCGGGGAAGUAUGUGAGGUUCACGCCGGAGCAGGUGGAGGCGCUCGAGAGGGUCUACAGCGAGUGCCCCAAGCCCAGCUCCAUGAGGCAGCAGCAGCUCAUCCGGGAGUGCCCGAUUCUCGCUAACAUCGAGCCCAAGCAGAUCAAAGUCUGGUUCCAGAACCGCAGGUAAAAAAAUAAAAAAACGAGGCCAGAAAGCCAGGCCAGGUGUGGGAUUUGGUGAAGAAAAAAAAACGGUUUCUUUUUAGAUUUUUAGGUUUUUCCAUUUCUUUUGUUCUUCUUUUUCGUUUGAUUUUUAGUGGAAGAAGGGUAAGGGAUUAGAAAGCAUGGAUCUUUAAGAAAUUGACGAGGAUUUUGAUGCGUUUUCUUUUUUCCCUCUUCGAACUAAAUACCCCAACGGCCACGUUUGUUUUCAGUAGUUCUGUAUCUCCUCUUUGGAGAUCUCAUGAGUCGUCCUGAUCAAUUGCCGAGGAAGGCCCUGCACCCCACCGGACCAAGUCCGGUUGUCCUGCUCUUGCCUUAGGUCCUGCCGGUCCUCGGGUCCUCCGAGUGCCGGCAGGACCUCUUCACUGGCCUUGUGCGCUGACCGGCAGGACCUCUUCACUGGCCUUGUGCGCUCUGGUCACCCUUUUUCAGAUGCCCACCACCUGCUCGAUGAAAACGCCCAAUUAGCCACAGGAACCUCAAAGCCUCGCUACAGGUUGUCCUCGUUUUUAUAUUUUCAUUGGCAAUAAUCCGCCUCACCAAGGAACCCUUAUGUUUUUGAGGCUUUUCUUUCAUUCUCUUACCAAUAUUUUAAUUUGGACGUGAUAAAUUAUAUUGGCUUGAUUCAACUGCUGAACUAUUGGAUGCGUUGGCUGAAGCGUGACUGAUAAAUACGGGACUGCUGUGCUGAAGUCUUAGCAUUUCCUUUUAAUGACAAUUGGUAGCCACUCUUAAUUUAUCUUUUAGCUCUGAGUCUGAGAUAAGAAAUUAUCAAAUCAGAUUAGAAGAAGUCUUAUCUGAAGGUUAAGAAAGUAUUGGCUUUAGAAGCAGGGAUUGGAAGCAAGAAAUGAUCUUUUAUCUGCAAUCUAUGAAUUUCUCUAGCAAUGUACUAAUCUUUAUAUUAUGUCUCAACUAAUCUGGCGGGUCUCACGCUUAAAUCCAUUUCAAACCUGCUGUUGGGAGGCCAUAUAUAAUAUCGAUAUCUAGGGGUUUAUAUGCAAGUUUAUUCAAAAUUGAACUAGUCUUGGCAUGCUGCGUGCGGGUUUUAGCUUGCAUUCGUGAAGUAGACCCUGCAAGUCGCAUGCUGGCUGGCACUAGAUCAAAUUUGGCACAAAUGCAGGGAUUACCUUGCAUAUUUGAAAAGUAGAUCCUGCAGCCUGCGGGAGCUGCGGGACUAGAUCAAAUUUGGCAGAAAGAUCUUAUGUCUAAUAUAUAUCUUUGACAGGGGGUUAGGUGUGAUAAUUCUUUUCUCCAUAGAGUUGCGGGGACUAUAUAGGCUAUAGCUCAAAUUCGCAUGACGGGACUCCUUCUAAGACGUGCUAAUAUUACAUUCAAGUCCCUUCGUUUUUUGGCAAUCUCUUAAACCGCAAACAUAGAUCGACCUGCAAGAGAUGUCUUUAGAAAACUGGGCUCCGUAUGGUUUGGAUUACAUGAGUUUUUAUCCCCACUUUAUCUGGGAUAAAUAGCCAAGUGACCAAAAAGCUUUCAUCUUGGGGAAGUUAUAGCUGAGGCAUCAUCCCGAAUAAGUCACUAAAAUUGUAUUAAAAACUCGGCAAUUGCAGUGCAAGGAGGAGGGGCUACACAAUGAUUAGAUUGUAAGCACUCUGAAAGAAGGUUCAGUCUGAAUUUUAUUCAUAAACGCACAAUCUUUAGUCCACAUCCUCAAAGGUAGACGAUUGCAUAUCUCAACAGAACAGUGAUAACAUUUGCUCAAUUAACAAUUAUAACUGCAUGCACACAUAACAAAGUUAUUUGCAUCAGGAUUUGGGACACAAUAUCCAUUUCCAUGUUUAUACCAUUUUGCGCAAGCCCAAUGGCAGGAUACAUUGAGGCAUUCGUAUUUGUUACUCAUCAAGAAAAUUAAACAUUUCUUCUGAGCAUCCAC
This 5641-nucleotide long non-coding RNA is filed under the name Phoenix dactylifera (date palm). RNAcentral's name for it is "long non-coding RNA (PDAC_LNC001448)". The record is from RNAcentral. Lineage: Eukaryota; Viridiplantae; Streptophyta; Magnoliopsida; Arecales; Arecaceae.